RNAcentral lists this small RNA (171 nucleotides) under Serratia symbiotica. RNAcentral describes it as "SraG RNA". It matches the Rfam family "SraG RNA". Rfam says of the family: This RNA was discovered in E. coli during a large scale screen. Evidence was found for specific cleavage of this RNA. The record is from RNAcentral. Lineage: Bacteria; Pseudomonadati; Pseudomonadota; Gammaproteobacteria; Enterobacterales; Yersiniaceae.
CUUCCACUACAUCCUCGCGACUAAUGACAAACUUUAUGCCAAAAAAGAAUACAGUACCUCAUUAGCCAAACGAUUUUCUAUAACGGAACCCUAUUUUUGGAACGUUCAGCAAUAAAUUAACUUGAUUUCUUAUGCUGCCCAGAGGAAAGGGGCCAUUAUAGGCCCCUUUCC